GGCCCAGUUGGCUAAGGCGCGAGACUGUAAUGGUAAUUGUAAUCUUGAGAUCGGGUGUUCGACUCACCCUCA
RNAcentral lists this transfer RNA (72 nucleotides) under Geotrichum candidum. RNAcentral's name for it is "tRNA-Tyr". Lineage: Eukaryota; Fungi; Ascomycota; Dipodascomycetes; Dipodascales; Dipodascaceae. The record is from RNAcentral.